CCUACGGGAGGCAGCAGUGAGGAAUAUUGGUCAAUGGGCUAAGGCCUGAACCAGCCAAGUCGCGGGAGGGAAGACGGUCCUAUGGAUUGUAAACCUCUUUUGUCGGGGAGCAACGAGGCCACGUGUGGCCGAAGUGAGAGUACCCGAAGAGAAAGCAUAGGCUAACUCCGUGCCAGCAGCCGCGGUAAUACGGAGGAUGCGAGCGUUAUCCGGAUUUAUUGGGUUUAAAGGGAGCGUAGGCCGCAUGUCAAGCGUGCUGUGAAAUGUCCGGGCUCAACCCGGGCCUUGCAGCGCGAACUGGCGUGCUUGAGUCCGCGGAAAGCAGGCGGAAUUCGUCGUGUAGCGGUGAAAUGCUUAGAUAGGACGAAGAACCCCGAUUGCGAAGGCAGCUUGCUGCAGCGGAACUGACGCUGAUGCUCGAAAGCGCGGGUAUCGAACAGGAUUAGAUACCCCAGUAGUC
Molecule: ribosomal RNA, 460 nt
Filed under: uncultured bacterium
Lineage: Bacteria
Description: partial 16S ribosomal RNA
Rfam family: Bacterial small subunit ribosomal RNA
Source: RNAcentral